RNAcentral lists this ribosomal RNA (315 nucleotides) under Aeromonas veronii. Its description in RNAcentral is "bacterial SSU rRNA". It matches the Rfam family "Bacterial small subunit ribosomal RNA", at positions 1010 to 1324 of the family's 1533-position model. The record is from RNAcentral. Lineage: Bacteria; Pseudomonadati; Pseudomonadota; Gammaproteobacteria; Aeromonadales; Aeromonadaceae.
GGGAGKGCCUUCGGGAAUCAGAACACAGGUGCUGCAUGGCUGUCGUCAGCUCGUGUCGUGAGAUGUUGGGUUAAGUCCCGCAACGAGSGCAACCCCUGUCCUUUGUUGCCAGCACGUAAUGGUGGGAACUCAAGGGAGACUGCCGGUGAUAAACCGGAGGAAGGKGGGGAUGACGUCAAGUCAUCAUGGCCCUUACGGCCAGGGCUACACACGUGCUACAAUGGCGCGUACAGAGGGCUGCAAGCUAGCGAUAGUGAGCGAAUCCCAAAAAGCGCGUCGUAGUCCGGAUCGGAGUCUGCAACUCGACUCCGUGAA